GAACCGUGCGAACGUUGUUCGGAUUCACUGGGCUUAAAGGGCGCGUAGGCGGCCGUCCCAGUCCGGGGUGAAAUCUUUCGGCUCAACCGGAAAAUGGCCUUGGAUACUGGACGGCUCGAGGGAGGUAGGGGCAACCGGAACGGCCAGUGGAGCGGUGAAAUGCGUUGAUAUUGGCAGGAACGCCGGUGGCGAAAGCGGGUUGCUGGAUCUCUCCUGACGCUGAGGCGCGAAAGCUAGGGUAGCAAACGGGAUUAGAUACCCCGGUAGUCCUAGCCCUAAACGAUGGGUACUAGGUUGCGGACUUGACAUGGGUUCGCAGCCGAAGCAAAAGUGCUAAGUACCCCGCCUGGGGAGUAUGGUCGCAAGGCUGAA
This 372-nucleotide ribosomal RNA is filed under the name uncultured bacterium. RNAcentral describes it as "bacterial SSU rRNA". It matches the Rfam family "Bacterial small subunit ribosomal RNA", at positions 527 to 898 of the family's 1533-position model. The record is from RNAcentral.